AUGGAUAAAAUGCACAAGGAGGAGGCAGUGAAAACCACCUAUCAUGAAGAUACUACCAGUACUGAUGGAUCAAGCACAGCUGAAUACGAUCCAUGGAAUCCGCCGUAUCCUCCAUGCCCUCCUGCUGUUGGACUUAGCUUAAGUGACUCUAUCCGUUUAGUAGCUAAGUGGUCACGUGAGAAAGAAGCUGCAAUUGGUGCCAUCAGAGCAUCCAGUAUAAUCUUCCCAGACCGCAUCCCUAAGGAGGUGAAUCAUGUCUUCUAUGAUAGAGUGCACCAUUUGGCACCCAUCCUGGAUAAGGAUAGCGUCCGGCGCUUUCUCCGCUUUUUCCGGGGAAAUGGGGCGGGCAUGCAAUGGGGUUCGAUCAUCACCCCAGAGGCUUUGAACCAUAUGAUUGCACAAAAUGCGGUAAAAUGUGUCAAAGCUGCCUUGGAGGGUCAGGCACCUGAGCUUGAUGGGUGCCGGGCCGGUCCCAACUGCAUGAACCAGUAUGGAUACUAUCCCCUCCACCGAGCUGCUGAAUUGUUUUCUGUUGACAUGAUUCAAUUGCUCAUCCGCCAUGGCGCGUCCGCCAAUCUACGCACAGCUGGUGCUGAGGUCAUCGAGGGCCUUCUCCCACUCCAUGUUGCAGUCGAGAACACGUGCAUGCACAAGUAUCUAGAAGACAGUCUAUUUCCUAACCACGAGCAUCGGGAUUACAGUGAGGCAGAUGCCCACUUUAUCUUCAAGCUCAUCCAUCUUUUGUGCCUACCUGAAAUGAAAAUCUUUUUGGAUUCCACUAGGCUGAUCGCAAAACACACAGAUAAUCUACUUGAUGAGCUUUGGAAUUACAUAAAAGAUGGAAAGCUUGCUGAGACAGCCGUUUUGCUACUGGCAGCCCAAGAGCAGAUCCGCAUGGGAACUUCCUGUAAGAAAAUUGGAAAUAGUAAGGCAGAUGGGUUUCAGGUUAUCUACAAAUGUAUUAUGGACAACAGUAUCAAAUUACAGUCUGAAAAGGGCCAAAACCUAAUGGAAAAGGAGGAAUUGGAGACUAAAAUAAAGCUUCGUCAUACAGCAAUGAUGCUUGUUCAUGUAAUUUCCAAAGCUGGUGAAGGUCUUGAAUCAUACAUUCGAAACCAUCUAGAGGCACCCCAUUUCAUGCAGGUGCCCUGUUUGGAGGUCCUUGAACGUGUUUCAUCGAUUCUCAAGGAUCAUGGUUUUUCUCCUGCUCCAGAAUGUGUAGACAUCAGAAACCUCUGCCCCUAUCAUGAUGUGUUGUCAAGUGAGGAAAUACCUAGAAAACCUGGCAGUGUUGCCGCUUCCAGGCUGCAAGGAGGAAGAGAAAACCGAGACGAUGGGAGCUCAAACUCGCCAGGAGAAGCUUCUUCCCAUGGUGGAGAUCGGUGUUAUCUGCCCGGUCUAAUGCCAGGAUCACCCCCCACAAAUGGGCACGUCCUUCUGAAUGCUUGGAUCUCGAGAUGGCUUGGAAGAAACCUACUCAAGGCUUGGAUGGUGAGACAGCUUCGAAGAAGGCAACCGUCGAGGAUGGGUCUGCUUCUGCAGCUCACGGCGUGA
Molecule: ribosomal RNA, 1554 nt
Filed under: Triticum aestivum (bread wheat)
Lineage: Eukaryota; Viridiplantae; Streptophyta; Magnoliopsida; Poales; Poaceae
Description: partial small subunit ribosomal RNA
Source: RNAcentral